RNAcentral lists this small nuclear RNA (194 nucleotides) under Salmo trutta (river trout). RNAcentral's name for it is "U2 spliceosomal RNA (ENSSTUG00000045035.1)". It matches the Rfam family "U2 spliceosomal RNA". From Rfam's summary of the family: U2 is a small nuclear RNA (snRNA) component of the spliceosome (involved in pre-mRNA splicing). The record is from Rfam by way of RNAcentral. Lineage: Eukaryota; Metazoa; Chordata; Actinopteri; Salmoniformes; Salmonidae.
AUCGCUUCUCGGCCUUUUGGCUAAGAUCAAGUGUAGUAUCUGCCGUUGUGAAUAUAAACCAGAUCAAGUUGACAGAAUGGUGUUACCAUUUUAUACACAUAAAAGCGUCAAAAACAAUUUGAAUUUGUUUUGAUUUAUUGGGUGACUUGACCUCCACUUUCUAGGCAUCAUUGACAGACUUGGUCAAACCCCAA